Molecule: non-coding RNA, 2393 nt
Organism: Oncorhynchus mykiss (rainbow trout)
Lineage: Eukaryota; Metazoa; Chordata; Actinopteri; Salmoniformes; Salmonidae
Source: RefSeq, a predicted model, not a curated record
GCUCUGAAACCAGAUUGCAUAGCGGAGAAGGUGUGGUGGGAUUCGAAAUGGUCUGUGAUCUGUUUGUUGACUUGGCUUUCAAAGACCUUAGAAAGGCAGGGUAGGAUAGAUAUAGGUUUGUAGCAGUUUGGAUCUAGAGUGAACAUUCCUGGUGCUAUGUCUAAACUGAGAAGAGUAAUUGCUGGGAUGCCAUUGAAAUUAUCAUGGAAGAAGUUAAUGCUUCCCUGAAAGGAGGUUAAGUUACUGAAGCAAAAAGAGUGACAGUCGAGUGGACACUAAAACUGUACUGUUACAAUUUGAAGGGAACCUGCUGCAUAGGUUGCAGCUAGGAUCACUCCGUUAUCCGGUUAGACAGUGCAUGCCGCCUCCCCUUCGGUGCAUUAAGGGCCAAUGCAAGGGGCAUGUUGCUAAUGUUUGCAAAGGUAAAAUGAGAUGUAUAACGUGUGGUGGGGAUCACGAGUAUGGGAAAUGUGGGCCUGAUGCUCAUGUUAAACUGUGACACAGAACAUAGUGCCGCAUAUGGAUGAUGUGAAGUACAACAGAAAGCCAUGGAAGCGCAGAGGUACAAAAUUACAAACAAUGUAUCCUAUGCUGAGGCUGUUUGGGAAGUGAAUAACACACCUAGUGUUCAAAAUACUCCAGAUACAACAUAUCGGCAGAUAGUGGCCACGCCGAGGCCUCCAGUGGAACCUCAGCCGUUUGUUAAUGGGAAAUGCGUGCAUAAAUGCUUGAUUACAGAGAACCAUGGUAGUAGAUCAUGUGACCUCAUUGGCCUUCAUGUGUAGGGCAAUCAAUGUGACUGCUCCACAGUUGACAGUGCAACUGCCUCAAUUUAGGGACACAUCUGGGGAAGGGUACCAAAAAAUGUCUGCAGCAUUGAAGGUCCCCAAGAACACAGUGGCCUUUUUUUUUCAGAUGGCGGACUGGAAACCCAGUGACCACUUGGGUCUAUAGCUACCAUUUUCCAUUGGGAAAGAGAAAUGGCCCUGUAUUUACCAGAAAAAGUAGCUCAUCCACCAUGGCAGAAGAGGAUAAUCCAGACUAUUGAUUGGGAAAUUAGAAAACAAUGAGGGUGUUGGGGGACCACUUUUUCCAAGUCCAACAGGAGUGCAUCUCUCAGGCCAUCCGGUGCAUGGACAUCCUGUGCCAGUUUGAUCCAAGUGCAUGCGUCUAGUUGUAUAGACUACAGCGGAUGGAGCCUGUGGAUGACAGACAUGAGCCGUGACAUGUGGAACAUCAGGCUCACCCCACAAGAAGCAGUGCAUGAUCAAUGCCAUCCUCAGCAAUGAGAUCUGAUGGAAGUGAUGUACUCUCUCUCACUCUGGGGAUAAAACAUCAUUUAAACCACACAAAUAUAAAUUCCCACUGUGCCCAUGAUAAAAUACAAUGUGAAUUGUGUUGUACUACUAAAUGAAACUGAUGAGAUGCACUCAUACCAGCCUUUUGAUUGAACUAUCAUUAGCUACAUUACUUUAAUUGGCUGCUUUGAGCAAAACUUGUAUUGAACAUAACCUAUUCUGGGAGCCUAGCCUGUGUGUAUGAACUAGGUAGAAUAUUUUGGGACAAUUGGCUUCCCAGAAAACAGGAGGAGCAACAUGAGUUUGUCAGAGGUCUCCCUUCCAUUGAAGUGGAGCUAACCUCCCUCUCCUCAUGGUGUUCCAGUUGGGGUUGGUUUGCUGUCCAACUGUUGCCUGCCGUAUUCCUGCUGCUUCACCAACAGCGCCAUGCCAGCCAGGAUGCCAGCAUGCCCCAGGUGCCCUUGUUUUUUUAACAAUGUCCGGUACAGACAGGGAUGACAGCAGUUGUUCUUGCUCAGGUUCAAGGAGACAUGCCAUUCCACUGAAAGUGCCCCAGAGACGGUUCCUUACAUGCUAACUACACCGGCCACACGCGUGCAUCUGUGUGCACAUGUUGAUUUUGUCCAUCUACACCAGACAUGAUCAGGACAUGCAAAUAUCAAAAUGAGCCAACUAUAUUAAUUUGGGGACGGGUUGAAUCACAUAUGAAAUAUUCAUUGACAUUUAUCUAGCUAGCUUACUGUUGGUAGCUAAUUUGUCCUGGGAUAUAAACAUUGGGUUGUUUAACCUGAAAUGAACAUGGUCCUUUUUUUUUCACUGGAUCUUCGUAGAAGUUUGAGUCACACAAAAUCGGCCAAUAUUGUGAACCGCCAAAACAGGCUUCAUGGCUAAACAUAUGAGCUCCACGCAGGCAUUUGCAUGUGGAAGAGAGAAUCUCCUGGUUACCUAUAGAGACCUGCAAAGAGGAAGGCUGUUAAGUGACACAUGCCUUUCAAUAGAUUACUUUGAGAACCUUGAAAUGCAUUUGUUGUAAGAAAUGUGCAAUAUUAAUGUUUGAUUUAGCUGUAAAGUAUUUAAUAAACUAUAAUUUUCACA